AGCCCGAGCCGGGCAGCGCCGCCGCCAUUUUGUGAGCACAGCGCGGCGGACGGGGCGCAGGCUGUUCGAGAUGGUGAAGCUGUUCAUCGGGAACCUGCCGCGGGAGGCGACGGAGCAGGAGAUCCGCUCCCUGUUCGAGCAGUACGGGAAGGUGCUGGAGUGCGACAUCAUCAAGAACUACGGCUUCGUGCACAUCGAGGACAAGACGGCGGCCGAGGACGCCAUCCGGAACCUGCACCACCACAAGCUGCACGGCGUCUGCAUCAACGUGGAGGCCAGCAAGAACAAGAGCAAGGCCUCCACCAAGCUGCAUGUGGGCAACAUCAGCCCCGCCUGCACCAACCUGGAGCUGCGCGCCAAGUUCGAGGAGUACGGCCCCGUCAUCGAGUGCGACAUCGUCAAGGAUUACGCCUUCGUGCACAUGGAGCGGGCGGAGGACGCGGUGGAGGCCAUCCGCGGGCUGGACAACACCGAGUUCCAAGCACGGCCGCCCCGCAGGAGGAUCCCGACGGCGAAGUCCCAACUCUUGUGCCGACGGCGCGGCGUGAAGCCAGGCUGCCGCCCGCCCUCGUAGCCUUGCCCUGCCUGGUAAGAGGGUGAGCGGAGGCGCCCGAUCCCGCGCCGGCCGCGGCCCCGGUGCCGGCGGCACGCGGCAUCUCUCGCUCGGGCUCUCGCCGUCCCGGCGCGGGAGCUUUUGCUGGCAGCCGGGGCCGAGCGGCCGGAUUCGAGCUCGUGGCGAGCGUGUUCUUCGGCCGGCCGGGGCGUCAGGGACGUGUCUGGUGCUUCAGCCGGGGGUUUCAGCAAACCCCGCUGCCCCCGUUCCGGGUGUUCCCCAACAUUACUUCUCCCACCGGGAUGGUGCAGCUGCAUCCGGAGCUUCCCUGGCCGCGGUGACAUCCGUGGGACCAGCAAGUGCCGCGGCUGCGCUUGGCUUGCCUCGUGCCGUGCUCUGGGGUUGUCCGGUGUUGAAUCCGUCUUGCCGCCGCUGGCGGGAGUGUUUUCCGGCGGGAAGCUUGUAGGGGGCCAGCGGUGCCGCGGGCUGAUCCUGGGCUGCUGCGGCAGCACCACCGGGAGCUGGCAAAAAGCCCUCUUGGGCUGCGUGCCGGGGUAGUUGUCAGCUGGUGGAGCCACCAGAGCCCGGCCUGGCUUAGCCUGGCGCGGGCAGCGCUUGGUCUUGCUGGUGUUCUCCUGGUAAGUCGGGUGGCCGGUGGCCGGCUCCCGCUCGAGCCCAUCGUGGGCUCCUCCUGCGCCGGGUUGCUCCCUGCCGCGAGGGUUGGGCUGCGGCCAGUCCCGUCCCGCUGGUGCCGGCGGUUGUGAGUAGCCUCUCGGUGCGGCCUCACUGAUGCCUUCCCUCUCGCGUCUCUCUCCUCAAGGCAAGCGGAUGCGCGUGCAGUUGUCCACCAGCCGGCUGCGGACGGCGCCCGGGAUGGGAGACAAGAGCGGCUGCUACCGCUGCGGGAAGGAAGGGCACUGGUCUAAGGAGUGCCCGGUAGAUCGCCCGGGGCAAGUGGCGGACUUUGCCGAGGCCUAUAACGAGCAGUACGGAGCCGUGCGCACUCCCUACACCGCGGGCUAUGGGGAGACCGUGUAUUACGAUGAGGCGUACGGCGGGAUGGCCGACUACUACAAGCGCUACCGCGUCCGCUCCUACGCCACGGCCUCUGCGUACGACGCCUACGCGGAGCAGACCAUGGCCCAGUACUCCCAGUACGCCCAGUACUCCCAGGUCCAGUCCUCGGCCAUGGCCGCCACCACAGCCAUGGCCAGUCGCAUCCCCACCACCUUAGACGCGUACGAUAGAGCUCUGCUGCCGACCCCGGGCGCGGCGGCCGCCGUCGCCGCUGCCGCCACCGCCGCCGCGGCGGCCGCCUCCUCCACCUAUUACACCCGGGAUAGAAGCCCCCUGCGCCGCACGGCCGCCGCGGCCACCACCGUCGGAGAGGCGUACACGUACGAGCGUGGGCAGCUGUCGCCGGUCUCCUCGGUGGCCCGGGCCUCCCUCUACGACAUGCAGCGGUUCGGGCGGGACCCGUACGCGGACCGGGCGCGGUACUCUGCCUUUUGAGCCGGAGGUGAGCGUGUUGGCACGGCUGCUGCGCGGCGGGAGGGGGAACCCCGGCUGCUGCGGUAACGGGGGGGCUGUGGCCCCCCAGGCGCUGGUUGUGCCGGUCGAGCGUCUGCGCCUCUGUGUGAGCCGCGAUGAAGGGCUGUGGUGAAGCAAGGCCAGGGCUUGCCGGGCGUUAAAGCCCAGGCGCUGGCUCUGGAUGCGCUGCCUGGUGAGGACGUGCCGUGGCAAUCGGUGCUGCUCGUGGAGCUGGUUAGUCCCGGUGGGUCGCUCUCCCUCGCGGCUCCUGCUGCUUUUAAUCCCUCCGCAGCCAGGGCUGAGCCUGUGUGCCGUGCUGGCACAGCCACCGUGGGGUGGGGGGUUCCCACAGAGCCCCCAGCCUUGUGUGCUGUGGCUGCCACACGGAUUCCCUGGGAGUCGCUCCUGCCCGGGACGGCGCUCCCGGGAUCUGCCUGGUAAAAGCCUCCCCCGGCCGGGUUACUGCCCUGGCACGGGUCCUGCCGGGAUGGCCCCGAUCCUGGUGCAGUGCUGCAGCCCAGCAGCCCCCCGCACCACGCCAGGACUCCAGUGUGUCUCAGGAAGCUGCGCCGGGGCUCGGCACGGUCCCCGGCACCACCCCGGCGCCUGCGCCAACUCUGCUUUUCUCUUUUCAGAGGGUGAAUAAUCCACUCGUAGCUUUUUAAUGCUGGAGGCCGCAGCUGAGUGAGGCCGCCGCGCCGCACCGGCACGGGAGGGCCAGCCUUGUGCGUGGAGCUCGCCCCGCGGCACUUAGCGUCCCCCAGCCCCACUGCCCGGUAAAAUAAACUCCAGUUUUUAA
This is an RNA transcript of Strigops habroptila (Kakapo), 2882 nucleotides long. It is a transcript of the gene named RNA-binding protein 4B, with no coding region annotated. NCBI's taxonomy places the organism in Eukaryota, Metazoa, Chordata, Aves, Psittaciformes, Psittacidae. The transcript has 4 exons. The record is from RefSeq and is a predicted model, not a curated record.